UGGCUAAAUAACUAUAUUAGAAACAUUUUUUAUUUUGCACAGCCUAUCUAUUUACCCAGUUUUUAUUUUCACACUGAACUAUUCCUUUAAAGUCAACCUGUGCAGUGCAAUUCCAUCUCAGUCUUAAAAAUUCCCCUCUAGGUAAGGCCUUUUUUACAUGUUUGGAUGGAAACUGGAAUGACUGAAUAGGGAGUUAGUAGCUGUUUCUUUUCUUUUUCAUCUCCCCUGUUUAUGUUCAGAUCUAUGUUUAGAUCUAGAAAGGAGACUUCAUUUUCUGAGUUCUGAGAUGUUAAUUUGAUUUUCCAAUCAUUGGUAUUCUGCACAUGUCCCUUGCCAAAUGAUUAGGAUAUCGUUGAUAUAUCUGAGCCAUUUUCUGAUAUGUUUGUGAUAUUUUAUAAAUGUAUCACCAAAAACCACAGUUUCAUCCCAUUUGCCUAAGAAUAAGUUGGCAUAAGCUGGGCGCAGGCAGUGCCCAUUGUAGUUCCUUGAGUCUGGAGAAAGAGUUGGCCAUUUAAGGUAAAGUAAUUGUAAUACAGGACAAAUCUUAAUAGUUUACAUAUAAAUUCUAUUUGAUCAUCUGAUUUGUCACUUGUUUUAAUAUUGCACAGACUCAAUGCCUAGUUCAUGUCCUAUGGAUGUAUAUAAGGAUUCAACAUCAAGUGUAAUUAAUAAGUUGUUAGAUUGUAUAAGUUCCAUAUUUUUGAUUUGAACCAGGACAUCCAUUGUAUCUCUAGCAUAGGACAUGAGGAACUCAACCAUUGUUUUAAAGACUAGAUAUAAAUAUUGGCUGACUUUUUCAGAUAGACUACUGUUCCCGGAUACUAUGGGUCUCCCUGGCGGUUUUUAAAUUUUUUUUUGUUUUGGGCAAAAUUAAAAUGUUGCAACUCUGGGGUGCUCAACUUUCAGAAAUUGAUAUUCCUUUUUACUUAUUAACAAAUUCUUCUGUGCUUCUUUUAGUAUUCUAUACUAAAUUUCAAUGAAAUUCUCCUAAUAUUUUUUUUAUGACAUUCUGACUUUAGUUGUCUGUCAGCCUCUUCUAGAUACAUGUUGUUGGCCAGAUUACUAUGUUACCCCCAUUAUCGGACUGUUUGAUUUGUUCAUCAUACCACCUUCUGGUCUCUUGGAUUGCUCUUAAUUCAUCCUGGCUCAAGGACAUCGAAUGGAGCGACCCACAUACUGUUUUGUACAACAGUUGCAUUCCAGUAAAUAAACUAUCCGUUUGGAGUUGCAAUUGUAAAAACCUUUGCUUUGAUACGUCCAACCUGUGACAUUUGAACUGAAGCCGCUACUCCUAUCGAUCACAUUACAGGUUUUGCAUUUCGUGUGCUCUCACCUAAAAGUGCCCUUCAAAGCCAAUCACCGCUUUUGUUUGGGCGUGGAGGAGGAGACUAUACUGGGUGCCAAUAUAUUUCUCAGAGUGGGGGCCUUCUUGGAAACAAAUUUAAUGUUUGUAGAAGAUAAUAUCUCUUGUAGUGUCUCAUUACCCUCUAAAAUCGGAAGAUAUAUUUUAACUAUUUUGCAAAUUCGAUUGUAUAUUUCACUGUAUUCAGUUAUAAAAUAAAUUCUUUAAUUUAGA
Molecule: long non-coding RNA, 1576 nt
Organism: Xenopus laevis (African clawed frog)
Lineage: Eukaryota; Metazoa; Chordata; Amphibia; Anura; Pipidae
Exons: 2
Source: RefSeq, a predicted model, not a curated record